AAUACAUAGGUCAUUUAUUAUCAAAGGAAAAAUGUUAUCCAAAGUAAGCAAUUGUAAUACUGUAUGAAAAUAUUUUUAUAUACAGAUAUUGUGUCAAAAUUAAAUAUACACAUUCCAUUAAUUAAAAGGCCAACAUAUAUUAUUCUCUUAAAAAUAUACUUCCCAAAUUGCAAACUCAUGUAGACAAAUUUUAUUACACAUAAAUGACAAAAGUAACCCAGUGCUAUGGUUUAGCAUCCUUAGAGCAGGUGACUUUCUGUUUUGUGAAACUAUUCUUUACUUUAAUUUUAAAACAUCUGUAAUAUCGUUUAUCAAAGGCACUGUAUUAUACAUUCAUGUUUAACUACAUCUCUUAAUAUCUUUCAGUUACCUUGGACUCCUUUAUGCUACUGC
This 393-nucleotide long non-coding RNA is filed under the name Bos taurus (domestic cattle). RNAcentral's name for it is "long non-coding RNA NONBTAT006278". The record is from RNAcentral. Lineage: Eukaryota; Metazoa; Chordata; Mammalia; Artiodactyla; Bovidae.